AAUGAACGUUGGCGGCGUGGAUUAGGCACGCAAGUCGAGCGAGAACCCGCAAGGGGGACAGCGGCAAACGGGGUAGUAACGGGUAGGCAACGUACCCUCGGGUCGGGGAUAGCCACGGGAAACUGUGGGUAAUACCCGAUAAUCUCUGCGGUGGUAAGUAUCGCAGAGCUAAGGUGUGAUUCCACCGGAGGAGCGGCCUGCUUCGUAUUAGCUUGUUGGUGAGGUAACGGCUCACCAAGGCGACGAUGCGUAGGGGGUGUGAGAGCAUGACUCCCACCACUGGGACUGAGAUACUGCCCAGACACCUACGGGUGGCUGCAGUCGAGAAUCUUCGGCAAUGGGCGCAAGCCUGACCGAGCGACGCCGCGUGUGGGAUGAAGGCCCUUGGGUUGUAAACCACUGUCAGAGGGGAUGAAAUGCACGAGAGCUAUCUCUUGUGUUUGACAUAGCCUCAGAGGAAGCACGGGCUAAGUUCGUGCCAGCCGCCGCAGUAA
RNAcentral lists this ribosomal RNA (494 nucleotides) under uncultured bacterium. RNAcentral describes it as "partial 16S ribosomal RNA". It matches the Rfam family "Bacterial small subunit ribosomal RNA", at positions 29 to 523 of the family's 1533-position model. The record is from RNAcentral.